GCCACCAUGGUGUAGUGGUUUGCGCAUUGGAUGAUAACUCUGGAGACCCGGGUUCGAUUCCCAGAUCAGCCA
Non-coding RNA from Phrynosoma platyrhinos (Desert horned lizard), 72 nucleotides. Lineage: Eukaryota; Metazoa; Chordata; Lepidosauria; Squamata; Phrynosomatidae. The record is from the annotation of a GenBank genome assembly.